GAAAUGGGAUACUUGGUGUGAAUUGCAGAAUCCCGUGAACCAUCGAGUCUUUGAACGCAAGUUGCGCCCGAAGCCAUUACGCUAAGGGCACGUCUGCCUGGGCGUCACGC
Molecule: ribosomal RNA, 110 nt
Filed under: Aucuba chinensis subsp. omeiensis
Lineage: Eukaryota; Viridiplantae; Streptophyta; Magnoliopsida; Garryales; Garryaceae
Description: partial 5.8S ribosomal RNA
Rfam family: 5.8S ribosomal RNA
About the family: 5.8S ribosomal RNA (5.8S rRNA) is a component of the large subunit of the eukaryotic ribosome. It is transcribed by RNA polymerase I as part of the 45S precursor that also contains 18S and 28S rRNA.
Source: RNAcentral